RNAcentral lists this ribosomal RNA (440 nucleotides) under uncultured bacterium. RNAcentral's name for it is "partial 16S ribosomal RNA". It matches the Rfam family "Bacterial small subunit ribosomal RNA", at positions 338 to 795 of the family's 1533-position model. The record is from RNAcentral.
CCUACGUGAGGCAGCAGUGGGGAAUAUUGCACACUGGGGGAAACCCUGAUGCAGCGACGCCGCGUGUGUUAAGCAGUAAUUCGUUAUGUAAAGCUCUAUCAGCAGGGAAGAAACAGACGGUACCUGAGUAAGAAGCCCCGGCUAACUACUGGCCAGCAGCCGCGGUAAUACGUAGGAGGCAAGCGUUAUCCGGAUUUACGGGGUGUAAAGGUGGCGCAGACGGCAGCGCAAGCCAGGAGUGAAAGCCCGGGGCCCAACCCCGGGACUGCUCUUGGAACUGCGCGGCUGGAGUGCAGGAGGGGAAGGCGGAAGUCCUGGUGUAGCGGUGAAAUGCGUAGAUAUCAGGAGGAACACCGGUGGCGAAGGCGGCCUGCUGGACUGCGACUGACGUUGAGGCCCGAAAGCGUGGGGAGCAAACAGGAUUAGAUACCCGGGUAGUC